Molecule: ribosomal RNA, 249 nt
Filed under: uncultured Actinomycetales bacterium
Lineage: Bacteria; Bacillati; Actinomycetota; Actinomycetes; Actinomycetales
Description: partial 16S ribosomal RNA
Rfam family: Bacterial small subunit ribosomal RNA
Source: RNAcentral
UGGGGAAUAUUGGGCAAUGGAGGAAACUCUGACCCAGCGACGCCGCGUGAGGGAUGAAGGCCUUCGGGUUGUAAACCUCUUUCAGUAGGGAAGAAGCGAAAGUGACGGUACCUACAGAAGAAGCACCGGCUAACUAUGAGCCAGCAGCCGCGGAACUACAUAGGGCGCAAGCGUUGUCCGGAAUUAUUGGGCGUAAAGAGCUCGUAGGUGGUUCGAUACGUCGGAUGUGAAAAUCAGGGGCUCAACCCC